Molecule: ribosomal RNA, 298 nt
Filed under: uncultured Haplosporidia
Lineage: Eukaryota; Endomyxa; Ascetosporea; Haplosporida
Description: partial 18S small subunit ribosomal RNA
Rfam family: Eukaryotic small subunit ribosomal RNA
Source: RNAcentral
UGGUGGUGCAUGGCCGUUCUUAGUUGGUGGAGUGAUUUGUCUGGUUAAUUCCGAUAACGAACGAGACCUCAGCCAUCUUAAUAGCCGUCGCUAGCCCGCUAGCGCUCUUCGGAGUUCGGCUUCUUAGAGGGACCGCCUGCUGCAGCGGGAGGAAGUUUGAGGCGAUAACAGGUCAGUGAUGCCCCGAGAUGCUCUGGGCUGCACGCGCGCUACAAUGGUGCACUCAGCGAGUGCCCGGCUUGGCAAGGCUAGGCAACCUUCAAUGUGCAUCUUGGUUGGGAUAGAUGAUUGCAAUUCU